Molecule: ribosomal RNA, 449 nt
Filed under: uncultured bacterium
Lineage: Bacteria
Description: partial 16S ribosomal RNA
Rfam family: Bacterial small subunit ribosomal RNA
Source: RNAcentral
AACGAACGCUGGCGGCAUGCCUAACACAUGCAAGUCGAACGAGAUCUUCGGGUCUAGUGGCGCACGGGUGCGUAACGCGUGGGAAUCUGCCCUUUGGUUCGGAAUAACAGUUGGAAACGACUGCUAAUACCGGACGAUGACGAAAGUCCAAAGAUUGAUCGCCAGAGGAUGAGCCCGCGUAGGAUUAGCUAGUUGGUGUGGUAAAGGCGCACCAAGGCGACGAUCCUUAGCUGGUCUGAGAGGAUGAUCAGCCACACUGGGACUGAGACACGGCCGAGACUCCUACGGAAGGCAGCAGUGGGGGAUAUGGGCCAGUGGGCGAAAGCCUGGGUCAGCAAUGCCGCGUGAGUGAUGGGGGCCAUAGGGUUGGAAAGCUCUUUUGGCCGGGAGAAUAAUGACGUUAUCCGGAGAAUACGCCCCGGCUAAGACCGUGUCAGGAGGCGCAGUAA